This 303-nucleotide long non-coding RNA is filed under the name Carica papaya (papaya). RNAcentral's name for it is "long non-coding RNA (CPAP_LNC015490)". Lineage: Eukaryota; Viridiplantae; Streptophyta; Magnoliopsida; Brassicales; Caricaceae. The record is from RNAcentral.
CUAUUCAUAGGUGUAUGCUAGUUAUAUUUGUCUUUGGUCAUGAUUUCUUUCUCCUCUUCCCUAUGUUUUCACCUGAAUAAAUAAGUAGUAACACUAUGUAGAUUACAUGGAAUUGGAAGUGUCAAGUUAUAUUAAUCAGUCUCUAUGCUUUUGGGGAAUUUAGUUCAAUUUUAUUUAGAGAAAUUGUUUUUCGACAUAGUCAUGGGGUUUUUUGGAUGAUGCGCAAUGUAGCAUAUGAUACCAUAUUUCUUGUGUUGAAAAUGAUGAGUCCUUUAAUUUCAAAUUGUGUAAUUCUUUAGAAUC